Molecule: ribosomal RNA, 253 nt
Filed under: uncultured bacterium
Lineage: Bacteria
Description: partial 16S ribosomal RNA
Rfam family: Bacterial small subunit ribosomal RNA
Source: RNAcentral
GACGAACCGUGCAAACGUUGUUCGGCCUCACGGGGCUUAAAGGGCGCGUAGGUGGCUCAUCAAGUCGGGGGUGAAAUCUUUCGGCUCAACCGGAAAAGUGCCUUCGAUACUGAUGAGCUAGAGCGAGGUAGGGGCAGAUGGAACUUCCGGUGGAGCGGUGAAAUGUGUUGAUAUCGGAAGGAACGCCGGUGGCGAAAGCGAUCUGCUGGACCUCUUCUGACGCUGAGGCGCGAAAGCCAGGGGAGCAAACGGG